UACGGAGGGUGCGAGCGUUGUCCGGAAUCACUGGGCGUAAAGGGCGCGUAGGCGGCCUGAUAAGUAGGGGGUGAAAUCUUGCGGCUUAACCGCAAGGCUGCCUUCUAAACUGUCAGGCUAGAGCACAGUAGAGGCAGGUGGAAUUCCUGGUGUAGCGGUGAAAUGCGCAGAUAUCAGGAGGAACACCGGUGGCGAAGGCGGAUCUCUGGGCCUUACCUGACGCUCAGGCGCGAAAGCUAGGGGAGCGAACAGG
RNAcentral lists this ribosomal RNA (253 nucleotides) under uncultured bacterium. RNAcentral's name for it is "partial 16S ribosomal RNA". It matches the Rfam family "Bacterial small subunit ribosomal RNA", at positions 524 to 776 of the family's 1533-position model. The record is from RNAcentral.